This is a long non-coding RNA of Gouania willdenowi (blunt-snouted clingfish), 1249 nucleotides long. Lineage: Eukaryota; Metazoa; Chordata; Actinopteri; Blenniiformes; Gobiesocidae. The record is from Ensembl.
AAUUUUUUAAAAUAACACUAAAUAACUUUUAUAUUUUAUUUGAGCAAUUUUUUUUAUGUAACACUUUAAGUGCUUGUGUUUUGUUUCCCAAAGAGAGACUUAUAAAAAGAUGUAUUUUUUAUUGUUUUAUAAAUAAAUAUCUGACAGGAUUAUUGCAUUUAAAGUACAGUUAUGUGAUGUCUUUAUUUAUCUUAAUUGACUAAGUGUACAAAGUUAAAUGGUGUUAAAAUUUAAAGGAGGUAAAUUUGAGGAUAAUAAUAAAUUAAACAGUUUAAACAAUGAACUCAGGUCCUGUCCCAUAAUACUUCACACUUACAGUAUGGGAAAUAUAACAUAGCUAUGUGGGACAAGGGUUACAUAUGUUUAACAUGACAGGGAUACCAGUAGGGACAGACAGAGGACAUCAGUCUGAGGCCAGGACAAAUCAGCUCUCAAUCCUCUUCUUCUCUUCUUCCUUUCAGGUAUCAGUUUAUGGGAUGGAAAUGUAAGAUCUGCACUUUUCAGGCAUCAUCCAUAAACUAUCUACCAGACUAGCCUUCAGGUAAAAGCAGUGAUCACCAGGAACAACAGCAGCUCCAAAUCCUGUCUGAGGUUAAGAAGAAGCUCAGCAUUUGUGUUUAGAAGACAUGACAUCAUCAGUCUUCAGAUGAGCAUCCAGGAGAUGGUGGAGAGGUGGUCUUCCUUGUUUGAUGUGUCUGAGGUCAAUGCAGAGUUCCAGCAGAUCACCACAGUAAAUGUUGAGGCCAAAUUCAUUUCAACUGCUGUCCAUCUUCCAAGCUAAGAAAAGUGCUGCUGGAGCCUGACACCGUGCAAGAACUGAUGCUGUUCUCCAGAGUGGAGUUGCUGUUGAGAAAACCAGAGAAUUCUUCAUCCGAUGUCCCAUUGAUCACCCUGUGGAAGAUGAUAAUGCUUUAAUCAAGGAGUUAAAGGCAAGUGCAGUUAAUGACUUUGUGGGUUCUCCCUACAAUGUAUCUGUUAGUAUGUCAUUAAUUCCUCUACUUAUAUAUGCUAUUUUACAACAGUUAGUUCUGACCAAAUGAUUUGAUUGGACAACAGACAUUUCAAGAGUGCUGAUAUAAAGCAACAAUGGCACCAGGAUUUCUUAUGGAUCAUAUCACUCUACUGUACAACUGAUGUAAAUACCAUUAAUUAUAGUUCCAUCUUAGGCUACAUGCCACAGUAUAUUGUCACUACGUUCACACUUGGGUUGCUGUUAAGUCUAAAACAUAUUUCUUUUUUUUAAGCCACA